CGGCCUUGAAAUACCACCCUUUAAUGUUUGAUGUUCUAACGUGGACCCGUGAUCCGGGUUGCGGACAGUGUCUGGUGGGUAGUUUGACUGGGGCGGUCUCCUCCUAAAGAGUAACGGAGGAGCACGAAGGUUGGCUAAUCCUGGUCGGACAUCAGGAGGUUAGUGCAAUGGCAUAAGCCAGCUUGACUGCGAGCGUGACGGCGCGAGCAGGUGCGAAAGCAGGUCAUAGUGAUCCGGUGGUUCUGAAUGGAAGGGCCAUCGCUCAACGGAUAAAAGGUACUCCGGGGAUAACAGGCUGAUACCGCCCAAGAGUUCAUAUCGACGGCGGUGUUUGGCACCUCGAUGUCGGCUCAUCACAUCCUGGGGCUGAAGUAGGUCCCAAGGGUAUGGCUGUUCGCCAUUUAAAGUGGUACGCGAGCUGGGUUUAGAACGUCGUGAGACAGUUCGGUCCCUAUCUGCCGUGGGCGCUGGAGAACUGAGGGGGGCUGCUCCUAGUACGAGAGGACCGGAGUGGACGCAUCACUGGUGUUCGGGUUGUCAUGCCAAUGGCACUGCCCGGUAGCUAAAUGCGGAAGAGAUAAGUGCUGAAAGCAUCUAAGCACGAAACUUGCCCCGAGAUGAGUUCUCCCUGACCCUUUAAGGGUCCUGAAGGAACGUUGAAGACGACGA
This 669-nucleotide ribosomal RNA is filed under the name Shigella sonnei. Its description in RNAcentral is "partial 23S ribosomal RNA". It matches the Rfam family "Bacterial large subunit ribosomal RNA", at positions 2187 to 2850 of the family's 2925-position model. The record is from RNAcentral. Lineage: Bacteria; Pseudomonadati; Pseudomonadota; Gammaproteobacteria; Enterobacterales; Enterobacteriaceae.